Molecule: ribosomal RNA, 398 nt
Filed under: uncultured bacterium
Lineage: Bacteria
Description: bacterial SSU rRNA
Rfam family: Bacterial small subunit ribosomal RNA
Source: RNAcentral
UUCGACGCAACGCGAAGAACCUUACCUGGGCUUGACAUGCGGGGUGAAACUGUGGAAACACGGCGCUCCUUCGGGAGCCCGCACAGGUGCUGCAUGGCUGUCGUCAGCUCGUGCCGUGAGGUGUUGGGUUAAGUCCCGCAACGAGCGCAACCCUCACCCUAUGUUGCCAACGGUUCGGCCGGGCACUCUUAGGGAACUGCCGGCGAAGAGCUGGAGGAAGGGGGGGAUGACGUCAAGUCCGUAUGCCCCUUAUGUCCAGGGCUACACACAUGCUACAAUGGUCGGUACAGAGGGUUGCCAACCCGCAAGGGGGAGCCAAUCCCAGAAAGCCGAUCUCAGUUCGGAUUGUAGGCUGCAACUCGCCUACAUGAAGUAGGAAUCGCUAGUAAGCGCAGAUC